GUCCGUGCAAGAAAAGCAGCUUCUGGGAGACGUCCAGUUUUAAUCAGGAGCUCCAAACACGAGUCAAGCCUAACAGAUUUUAAAACAGAAUUUUUAUCAGUUCUCUUUCAAGUCAGACUUUUGCAUUGUAGCUGUUUAGUCUAUGACAUUAGUAAACUAAAAGUGCCUAAUUUUAAAAAGUAGGCAUCGUAAAAUAGUUUUUCUGAAAGGGUACAUGCUACUGUCUUUAUCCUUAUGCUAGCUGUACUUAACCAUUUGGAAAUCUGAUGUUCUCUGUGUUUCAGAAAGCCCAAUGAGAACCAUCUGCAUUUCUCACUACUUACUUUCCCUGCAGGAAGUAGCUCAUAAAUGCAACGUUGUUCUUGCCAUCUUUUUCUGCUCCUUCAGCUAAUUUAUUCACCAUGUUAGCAUUUCCUGAGGCUGUAGCCAGUAGAAGUAGGCCUCCAUAGUCUUGUGCAUGGUGGAGACACUCCUGGGCUAGGCCAAACUGGCAUUUACUAAUGGCAAGUUCAGCAAGUUGCUUCCAUUUCUGUUCUGACUCUGCUUCUACUGCAAGCUGAUAAGCAAUUUUUAAUUCUCCCAGCUGAAGAGCAAGUUCAAAACGAUGCUCUGGAUCUGUAGAUACUGCAAGAGCUUGCUGUUUGAAGCCCUGUUUUUCAAGAAAAUGCGCAACUCUGGUUCUCUGUUCUUUUGGAAUUGUGGGAAGAACUUUGUCAGCCAUACCGAAGUCUCUUCUCAUCACAGCAGUUUGAUAUUCAAGCACUGAGACCAGCAAAGAGUAGCUAACAAUGUUUAGCUCUUUAUCACCCAAAUAAAGUCGGUUGUCCUUAGGAAUAUACCCCAAAAGGUACAUCGUCCUGAAACAAAACAAAGGCUAUUCAGCUCGGAUAGGUCCACUAGGAGGUACUACAUAAAAAAAUCCAACGGUAGCAAGAAUGUUUGCUUCAACUUUUACUCUGUACCCAUGCUUUGAUGUAAUGCUAUUUAUUCUAUGCAAGAUUACGUUAAUUGCCUGAGAACAUUAGCAUGAUAAAGUAACCAAAAGUAAUACAGCAGGACAAGUGGGGGAUUACCUUGUCCUAACUUCUACUGAAAAAAUGUUUAAGGCUUUCUUACAAUCGAAUGCAGCAACUUACCUGUCUAAAUGGGCAAUUGUGACAAUUUCUCCUCCAACGUAGUAGUUGAGUCUGUUCACAGAACUGGUGUAAAUAAAGCAGUCACCAACCCACAAACCUGUUUUCACAAUCUCCUGAAUCUCACCAAGAACCUCAAAUGCAUCUUCAAUUCCAUCUUCAGUGACUCCUUCAUGUGUUUCUUGGGCAGAUGAAACUUUUUCUGAUAGAUAUUUCAGAAUGAAGAAUGACUCUUCUGUAGCAAUGCAGACAAGCUCACCCGAGUCAGACCAGAAAAUGUGUUUGGGCUGAAUUUCAAUUCUGCGGAUCAGUUCCGUGUUUUCCCAAUCAUAGAAUGCCAAACCAUUAACAGACCUAACUCCCAGCAGGAAGCCACCAUAGAUGCCUUCUGCUCCAAAAUCAGGUUUGAACGAUUUCUUCUCCUUGAAGUUUUUAAAUAUCUUUACAACACUGUUGCUCUCUCUGAUUGCAUAUUCUGAGGAAUCAUGUGCCCAUACGAACUCCUGUGCAGAACCAAAACUCUUGUUUCUCAAAGCCAUCGCGGUGUAAAUGAUGUACUCUCCAUCACCACAGACUACAACAAACCGUCCAUUAGGGUUGUGCUGAAUUGUUUGAGGAUAUAUUUCACAGCUCCCCAUAUCCUUCACAGCCAGUGGCAGUCUUUCUCCAUCUUUAAUUUCAGCAUCUCCCAUAGCUUUCAAGUUGGCCUGCUGGACUUCUGAAUGUUUAGCCCAAAUAAUUUUUCCAUUUGCAUCCAUGGACAUGGCUGGUUCUUCACGACCAAGCUUAACAAUGAUGCUGCCUUCAUCAUAGCCCAAAGCCACGUUAUUGGAUCCUCUUAAACUGGCCACACACCACACCCUCUCCAUGCCAUAGUUCAGCGUACUUUCCAGGCGGUAGGUGCUUGAAUGCCAAAUGCGCACAGUUCCAUCUUCUGAGCCUGUGAUUAUGAUAGGCAAUUCAGGAUGGAAGCUGACACAAGACACGUUCUGAGCAUGUCCUUCCAGUGUUUGUACACACGUUUUAUUCUGGUAGUCCCAGAUCUUUACCAACCGGUCAUCUGCACCUGAAAUGAGAUACGGCUUGUCUCCUCCGCUGUAGUAGUCAAUGCAGUUCACCCCUUUCUCAUGGCCUUCCAGAGUAAAGUUGGGUGAAGAGGAGCCGAGCUGCCACACCUUGAUUGUCCUGUCCAAAGAGGCACUGGCAAACUGAUUAUUAUCUUUUGGGUUUAUGACGAUCUGCAUGACAUAAUGGGUAUGUCCUUCAAACACUUGAGAACAGGACCAUUUUUUAUCCCAGUCCCAGAGUUUAAUAAGCAUGUCAUCGCUGCUUGUCAGUAUGAAAGGCUGUGUGGGAUGUACAGCAAUACAACGAAUGUAAUCUGAAUGUGCUUCAAACAUGUGCACUCUUUCCAGGGUGUUGUAAUUAAAAACUCUAAUUUGCAUGUCAUCAGCUCCUGUAACAACCCAGUUCUUCCUCGCCACAAAUUUGGCAGCUCUCACUGGCAGGUCACACACUUCAAAAGUCUUCACCAAAGUCUGUGUUUCAUGGUUCCAAACGCAGACACUGCCAUUGUAGAGACUUGCCAGCAUCCAUGGCUCUGUGGGGUGCAGGUCCACACUUUUCACCCGGUCAGACCGGGCUGUUAGCUUUCGCUUGAUAUCGAGUCGGAGAGGCAUGGCGCGGCGUCACCCCGCAGGAGCCCCGCGGCUGAGGUGUCCC
RNAcentral lists this long non-coding RNA (2855 nucleotides) under Gallus gallus (chicken). Lineage: Eukaryota; Metazoa; Chordata; Aves; Galliformes; Phasianidae. The record is from RNAcentral.